GGGAGGCUAAAGCAGAAAGAUAACAAAAUUUGAGGCCAGGCAACAUAGCAAGACCCUGUAUAAAAAAAAAAAAAAUUGGCCUGAUUGGGUGGUACACACCUGUAAUUCCAGCAAUUCAGGAGGCUAAGGGAGGAGUAUUUCAAGUUGAAAGCCAGUCUGGGCAAUUUAGCUAGGUCUUGACUCAAUAAAAAAUAAAAAGGGCUGGAAACAUAGAUCAGAGGUUGAGCGCCCCUAUGUUCAACCCCCAGUACCAUAAAAGUUUUUUGUUUUUUUUUCAAAUUUGUGGUUUUUGGGGUACCGGCGAUUAAACUCAGGAGCACUCAACCACUGAGCCACAUCCCCAGCUUUAUUUCGUAUUUUAUUUAGAUACAGGGCCUCACUGAGUUGCUUAGUGCCCCGUUAAGUUGCCGAGGCUGGCUUUGAACUCGAGAUACUCCUUUCUAACCAGUGGGAUUACAGGUGUGAGCCACCCGGCCCGGCAUUAAAAUUUUUUUGAGACUAGAAAAAGAAGAAGAUACUGCUUGGAUUAUUUAAAAAAAAAAACAAAACAGUGCAAGGUAAUUUGGGGUCCUGGUCACCCAAGUCCUUGGGUAAAUAGUCUCAAGCCUACCAGAGGAAACUCAAUAACUCAAUUCCUCUUCCUUCAGAAGAAUAGUUAGCAUUUAUUGACCCCUGCAUCUUUUAAAUUUUAACUUUUUAUGGUACAGGGGAUAAAAUCUAGGGUAUAGUGCAUGCUAUGGAAGUGUUCUACCACUGACUACAUUCCCCUCCGGUACCCUGCUUUCCUUGAAUUUAGACAAUCUGGUUCUCAGAUAAGAGGGAAUGCUUUUUUAAAAGAAAGAAUCCUCCUUUUUUUGUAGAUUUUUUUUUUUUUACUUUCAGAAGUAUAAAUACCAUUAUGUCAGAAUAUUGGAAUUUAAAGAGUGUUGGGGAGCAUCUCAAAUUCAGCCUAACAUCCACCAGAGGCUUCACCAGGUGCUCUGUAUAUGCAGGAAUUCACUGUGGUUCACAGUGUGCUUCUGAGCUUGGUAGUGUCAGAAACCACUUUAAUUUUUUGGCAUUCAGACCAACACUAACCCAGUUCACCAAAAUUAAUGCAGAACCAGGAGGCCCUCCAUGUCUUCACUUAUAAACAGAAUGUAAGGUCUCCCAAUAUCGGGAGGACAUCUCCAAUCUACAUAGACAGCCCAGCCACAAUUCCACAAUUGCUUGGUGCACGGAGAAGAAUGAUAAGAACAGAAGCCAUCAAUCACUUAAAGAGUAUUCAAAAAUUAAUAGAAAAUGGUCUGGGGAUUUAGCUCAGUGGUAGUGUGUUUUAGUCAGCUUUUUCCUUACUAUGACCAAAAAACCUGACAAGAAUAAUUUUAAGAAGGAAAACUUUAUUUGGGGUUCACAGUUUCAGAGUUCUCAAUCCACAGAAGGCUGAAUCCAUUCCUCAGGGCUCAAACCGAGGCAGAACAUCAUGGCAGAAGGAUGUGCUGGAGGAAAGCAGUUCAGAACAUCACCAGGAAGCAGAGAGAGACUCCACUCACCAGGGACAAAAUAUAUACUCCAAAGGCAGACCCCAAUCACACCCCACCUGCCUUUAGUUACCACUCAGUUAAUACCUAUCAGGGGAUUAAUUCACUGACUGGAUUAAAACUCUCAUAAACCCAAUCACUUCACCUCUAAACCUUCUUGCAUUGUCUCACUUUGGGGGGGACACCUCACAUCUAAAUCAUAACAUAGGACACUUGCCUAACAUGUGAAACUCCCUGGAUUCAAUCCCCCCAUAAUAAUAACAAUAACAAUAAUAAAAAAUAAAAACAUUAAUGGUGAUAGUUAGGCCUGGUCAAAUGGGCCCAUUUCAAUCUCACAAUUUCACCAUGAAAGAAAUAUCCUAUUCUCCCUUUUAUUUGUGAGAAUACCGACACACUGUACUCAUAAAUUCUAAGAGGUAUGGUUUUUCAGAUUUGAAUUGUCCUGCAAAGUAUAUUCUAUAAUUUCCAGGCGUGGUGGCACACACCUGUAAUCCCAGCAGCUCGGGAGGCUGAGACAGGAGGAUUGCGAGUUCAAAGCCAGUCUCAGCAAAAGCGAGGCGCUAAGCAACUCAGUGAGACCCUGUCUUUAAAUAAAAUACAAAAUAGGGCUGGGGAUGAGGCUCAGCAGAUGAGUGCCCCUGAGUUCAAUCCCCAGUUUCCUCCUGAAAAAUUAUUAUUAUAUCCUAUAAUUGAUUGUAACACUUGAUAAAAAAUGAGUUUUUACUUAUUCAGUCAUAAAAUAUUGUGUGUUUGGCAUGAGCUUGGUAUGAUACAAGUUUGAUGGAGAAAGCAGUGUAUAACACUGAGGACCCUACUAAGUUCAUAAUUCAGUGGAGGAGACCACAAAUCAGCAAAUAAAUCAACAAAAUGUCAACUUGUGGAUGUUGCUAUGAAGAAAAUAAGUAUGAAAAAGAGACAAUGGGGAACAGGGCCAGGCAGUGACAUAAACCUGUAAUCCUAGUGAGUUGGGAGGCUAAGGCAAGAGGAUCACAAGUUUAGGGUCAAUUUGGGCAACUUAGAGAUACCUGCCUCAAAAUUAAAAAUAAAAAAAUGGCUGGGAAUAUAGCUCAAUGGUAAAAUGACCCUGGGAUUAAUUCCCAAUACAAAAAAAAAAAAAAAAGGUGGGGGACAGGGAACACAGGGACUCAGGAGUGUCUGAGGGGUGAUAAUGGAGCUGAGAUCCAAGAGCAGAGACUUCACUGUGGGCUACAGAGGUACUAGGAGAAAAGGUCCCCUCAUCUCUAGGGAUCAGUGUCCUUUGCUGGGAGCAGCUCCAUAUGGGGCUCCUUGGAGGACAGUCUGGGCAAAGAGGAGAGGGCCUAAUCAUGUCCCUUGGUCUACAUAGUGCUAAGCAGAUCCACCACUCAUUGUUCCCUGUAAAGCACUGAGCACAGAUGAGGAAGCACCCAGGCCUCUGGACCCCUGCCUUAGUCCUGCAAGGCAGAGUCUACCUAUCAUGGCCAAGGAGCCUGAGAAAUUCCCUUGCCAGGUGUCCAAAGAACACUGGAAACACCCCAAAUGUAGCCAGUCAGAUUGGAGACAAGGGGGCUGAACAGGACUCCUGGCGCAGACCCAAAUUUCUGUCCCCCGACCAGGUACUUCUUUCCGUUUGUAGUUUAUAGGCCCUUUUGGCAACUGCAGGGUGACUGCUUAGCACUCUGCAAUUUGAGCCACAUCAUUAUUUCUAAUUAAACUCUUUAAGUUUAAUUGGCUGUGGCUCAGCGGUAGUGCACUUGCCUGGCACAUGUGAGGCACUGGGGUCGAUCCUCAGCACCACAUAAAAAUAAAUAAGCAAAAUUAAAAAAUAUAUAUUUUUUUAGAAAGAAAGAAUUUUUUUGUUGUAGUUGUUUUGUAAUUUUUUCUGGCUGAAAUGAUUCUCCUGCCUCAGCCUCUGGAAUAGUUGGGAUAACAGGUAUGUGCCAUUGCAACUGACAAGAAUUUUAAAUAUAGAACUUCAACUGUUAUACAUUUUUGUUAUUGUUCUUGUUUUUGGUACCAGGGCUUGAACCUAGGGGGCACUUUACCACUGAGCCUCAUCCUCAGCCUUUUUUUAAUAUUUUAUUUAGAGAUAGGGUUUUUUUUUAAAAUAUUUUUUAGUUGUAGAUUGACACAAUACCUUUAUUUAUUUAUCUUUAUGUGGUGCUGAGAAUUGAACUCAUGCUUCACCUGUGCUAGGCUAGUGCUCUACCACUGAGCCACAACCUCAACCCCUAGAGAUGGGGGUCUUACUAAGUUGCUUAAGGCCUUGCUAAGUGGCUGAGAGCCUGGCUUUGAACUUGUGAUCCUCCUGCCUCAGCCUACAAUCCAAAACAGCUGGAAUUACAGGCAUGUGCUACCACACCCAGUUUGUUAUGUUUUAAAUGACUGAAAAAUUUUUUAUCACCUAUUUGUAUGAGCAAAGUCAACGACAGGAUUGUCACAAAUUUGAAGAGAUAUUCAUUGUAAUUUUUUUGGUAGUGGUCCUGGGGAUCAAACCCAAGGCCUCAUCCAUGCUAGACAAGUGCUCUAUUACUGAAUUACAUUCCCAGAGCCUCAUCAUUACAAAGUCUUUUGUUUUGUUUUGUUUUUGGAAUGGGGAUUGAACCUAUGGGUGUUUUACCACUGAGCUACAUCCCCAACCCUUUUUGAGUCAGGAUCUCACUAAAUUGCUUAGGGCUGGGUAGUCGUACACACCUAUAAUCCCAACAAUUUAGGAAGUUAAGGCAGGAGGAUCAGAAGUUCAAAACCAGCCUAGGGGGGGUUUAGCAACACAGCAAUUUAGC
RNAcentral lists this long non-coding RNA (4282 nucleotides) under Marmota monax (woodchuck). Lineage: Eukaryota; Metazoa; Chordata; Mammalia; Rodentia; Sciuridae. The record is from RNAcentral.